GAUGAAGAACGCAGCGAAAUGCGAUAAGUAAUGUGAAUUGCAGAAUUCAGUGAAUCAUCGAAUCUUUGAACGCACAUUGCGCCCGCCAGUAUUCUGGCGGGCAUGCCUGUUCGAGCGUCAUUUCAACCAUCAAGCCCCCGGCUUGUGUUGGGGACCUGCGGCUGCCGCAGGCCCUGAAAAGCAGUGGCGGGCUCGCUGUCACACCGAGCGUAGUAGCAUACAUCUCGCUCUGGGCGUGCUGCGGGUUCCGGCCGUUAAACCACCUUCAUAACCCAAGGUUGACCUCGGAUCAGGUAGGAAGACCCGCUGAACUUAAGCAUAUCAAUAAGCGGAGAA
This 336-nucleotide unclassified non-coding RNA is filed under the name soil metagenome. RNAcentral's name for it is "partial contains 5.8S ribosomal RNA, internal transcribed spacer 2, and large subunit ribosomal RNA". The stretch from base 1 to 120 matches the Rfam family "5.8S ribosomal RNA", at positions 35 to 154 of the family's 154-position model. The record is from RNAcentral.